GUUCUUGCUUCAACAGCACAUAUACUAAAACUAAAAUAGUGCAGAGAAGAAUAGCCCAUGUGAAAAUAUGAUGUGUAAAUUCUUGAAACAUUCCAAAUUUUG
This 102-nucleotide small nuclear RNA is filed under the name Microcebus murinus (gray mouse lemur). The record is from RNAcentral. Lineage: Eukaryota; Metazoa; Chordata; Mammalia; Primates; Cheirogaleidae.